AUGAAAACCAAUCCUGAACAUUGGAGCAGGGCUUUUUUCAAACUUGGCUCAUAUUGUGAUUCUUUAGAAAACAAUAUGUGUGAGUCCUUCAACAAUUCCAUCAUGAGAGCAAGAUUUUAUCUUGUAAUUACUAGUCAUGAGAUCAUAAGAAAGAAGGUUAUGGCUAGAAUUCAAGAGAACAGAGCAAAGCCUGCAAAGUGGAGUGGAACUAUAUGCCCUAAUGUGUUCAAGAAGCUGCAGCUCAACAUAAAGAGACCAGGAAGAUGCAGAGUGUUAUGGAAUGGCAAAGAUGGGUUUGAAGUGCAAGAGGGUGAGUAUAGAAGGUUCACAGUUGAUCUGGAGAAAUGGACAUGUUCUUGCAGAUAUUGGGAGCUCUCUGGACUGCCUUGUGCUCAUGCAAUCAGUUCAAUAUACACAUGUGGUUUGAAACUUGAUGAUUUCAUAGCAGAUUGUUACUCCAUCAACACAUACAACAAAAUAUAUGACCAUGUGCUGCAACCAGUGGAGGGCAAAGAGAAUUGGCUUAUUUCUGACAACCCUAGACCACAUCCUCCUAUCAGGGUUAAUAAUAAACCUGGGAGGAAGAAGACUGAAAGAACUAGAGAGGAGCAAGAGAAGCCCAAAAGCAGCAAAUUUCAAGGAAAGGAGUCAAGAUGA
This 657-nucleotide ribosomal RNA is filed under the name Triticum aestivum (bread wheat). RNAcentral's name for it is "partial small subunit ribosomal RNA". Lineage: Eukaryota; Viridiplantae; Streptophyta; Magnoliopsida; Poales; Poaceae. The record is from RNAcentral.